CGUCCACCGAACGGUCGGCAGGCGAUCCGCGUCGGUCGCGCUGGGUGGUAUGGUUCCCCAGAGGCCGGUUCUUGUGCUGCCUACCCCUUCAGGGGAAGCGUGCCGCUUGAUGCAAGCCUCCAUCCGGCGCCCCCCAACGGGCGCAGGAGGACAACGGAGCACCCCCCGCGUUCCACCGAGCCUCCGUCGGUCGCUUGGCGCGCGGGGAAGUGCGAUGCUCUCGGACCCAGCGAACGCCGUGGGCGAGGACUCACGUCCCAGUCCCGAUGGAAGCUCCCANAUAACGCNGACGGCCGCUCCCGUCCCCCGACCGCCCCGGCGGCGCGGGGGCGAGGCGCGGCGUCGCGGAGGAAUGCUACCU
This 361-nucleotide unclassified non-coding RNA is filed under the name Acacia minyura. RNAcentral's name for it is "partial external transcribed spacer". The record is from RNAcentral. Lineage: Eukaryota; Viridiplantae; Streptophyta; Magnoliopsida; Fabales; Fabaceae.